GGAUGCAUGGAAACAAGGUAUCAUGAGCAAGCAGCAGCAGAAAUAACAGAAGAAACAGACCUAUAGACCCUUCCAAUACUGGACGUAUUAGAUACAGGGUAUAUAAAAAUAAUAUCAUGUUUAAAGAAAUGAGGCACAUUUUUAAAAAUUUCCUUGUUCAAAGCCCUUAGUUGCUCCCCAGGGCAAACUGUAAAGAUAGGCUGAGGAUUUUCAUCUGGAAACUCAUCUGGAUGUGUCUCCUCUCAUGCACCUACUCAACUUUCAAAGCCCGGCUCAAAAUGACACCACCUCCAUGAAGUCCACUCAGAUCUGCCCAGAAGGAAUUGAUGUAUUUUCUCCUACGUUCUCACGGAUGUGCCGCAGUACAGUGUGCGCAUGUCACAUUACAGAAUGCUCUGUUUUCCUCACUGGACUGUAAGCUCUUGAGAAUCUAAAGCUUCUCUUCGAAAAAAAACCUCUGAACGUGUCACACACCUGGCCCGGUACUUUCUAUACAAUCGAAACCAACGAGCGUUUGCUGAAUCUGGUUCAAUCGAAAAAUCACUCCCCAGGCUGAACGGUCUCUGUGGCCCUCAGAUUCUGUCAGCGCAAAGUAACAUUUGGUAUUCAAGCUUUUUACUGGCCCCCAAAUCUCACUACUGAAGCCUUCAGUCUCCUCACUGCCCCUUGUGAAGUCCUUGCUCACUUUUUUUUUUUUUUUUUUUUUCGGUACGCGGGCCUCUCACUGUUGUGGCCUCUCCCGUUGCGGAGCACAGGCUCCGGACGCACAGGCCCAGCGGCCAUGGCUCACGGACCCAGCCGCUUCGCGGCAUGUGGGAUCUUCCCGGACCGGGACACAGACCCGUGUACCCUGCAUCGGCAGGCGGACUCUCAACCACUGCGCCACCAGGGAAGCCCCUUGCUCACUUUUUAACAUCUGACUCUGGUUCAUUUGUUUUCCCCUCUUUGAAGCUCCUUCCCUCCCUCUGCUCCUGGAAACAUUAUCUUUUCCUCAUUUUGCUUCUGGAUUUGCAUAAAAUUUUUACUCUGUUAGAAGCAGACGGCAAUCAGUGACUAGCAGCCCGAUUCUGCCUUUAAAAAUGAUAGGUGACUGGGUCUGUCUCUAAGGAUACACAGCUAACGUGAGUGAGCAUCUAUGACGCUGUGCUGGUCGCUGGGCCAGAUGCAAGAGCUGCAAAUACAAUCAAGGAGACCCAAUUCCCUGACUCCCAAGAUCUCACAUUCCAACAGGGAAUCAGAGAUAAACGAGGACCUGUAAUUAUAAGGCACUAACGGCCAUGACUUCCCAGGAGCUAAAGCAAGCGAGGCCACAGCGAGGACGUGUGACCGGGUGGCAGGGGGCGGCUUCCCGGGUCACAAGGCCCCUUUCGAGCUGCCCUGAGGAUGAGUCAGGAGGAGUGUGUGGGUGGUUGGCGGCGAGCAUCCCCGCUUGUGGGAAGACCGUGCCUAGAGGCAUGAGGUUGUGCAAGAGCCCUGCACACUCAAGAGCAGGGAAUGAGCUCUAGCAGGAGCCCAAGGGGAUCUGGGCAAGUCCCGGCACUGGGCUGAGGCUUGGGGCCCAGGACGCGAGAUCAAAAUUCCCUAAAUAUUUCCACUUUUCCCGCUCUCAGCCUCGCUUCCUUCCAAACCGUUCCCGUGCUCAGGCCUCUGCUCCCGGAGCUUCGAGCUCUCCUGCAUCUUCUCCCCGCUGGAGGCAAGGGCGCCAGGGCCUGACGCACCAGGGCUGCGUGCGGCCCCAGUGCUGACCCUGCACGCACAGCACGGCGGGCUCAGCCCCGCCUCGAGCAUUUGCUUGAGGCUUCCACUUGGGAACCUCUUCAGACAAAGGGAGAAGUCCUGGUGGCUUUCCUUCACAGAGAAAAUACACACCUGCCUCUCUUUACCCUGCAUACAGGACUCUUGCCACGAAAAGAGCCGUUCCUCUUAGGACACACACAAGUUUGAUGCUGUGGACCGUAAAAUAUAAUAUUUACCUGAUAACAGCCUACGGCAAACUAAGCAAUACGCUUCUUCAGUAAGAGGGCGGCUGCAGCCGCUGGAGACACGCACUGUGACUGUUUAACCACGGCUGCCCCAUAGCUUAAAGUGAGGACCCCGGUUACGUGGCUCCGAGUCCACAUUUGUCUUCACCAUGAACCAGAAGUACCCACCCGACCAGAGCUAUGGAAUCUCACAAAAGGGUCUUCACUACCGCAGACGCUUUUAACCUUACUCGAAACUGAGACAUAACGGUCUUCAGAUUCUGAAUACUGUUCUGAAAAGCAUGUAUUUGUGGGCCCUCCGCUUGUGUCCGGACAGUACCAGAGGUAAACCAGCUAGUUCCUGGGUUACACCAACUUCUGGACAAAUACAAGGGGAAAUGUCCCGGGUACUUCACCUCUGGGCUGUGAAGUAUGGCGCGUUAUUUCUGCUUUAGAAGUGACAUACUUCCUUCCUGACUUUCAUCAGAAAAAUCAAAUGUGCACGGAUGGCGUUUCUCCCCGGGGCUGUCUGCGGCACGGUCCUCAAGAGCCAUACGUGUGUCACUAACACACAUGGUCCCAGACACGGUGAGUCAUCAUGAAGAAGCCAAGCCCGUUCAUGACGGUAACAGUUCGAUGCUCUAAAUGGAGAAGAUGGCAGCACUUCACCGGCAGAGACGUGCCCGGACAGCCGUCCCAGGAGCCCUUCAGCCCAGGAAGACAGCUCCGGACAGGGGCCCCAGCCCCCCAUGGCCGUCCAUCCUGUGCCGAGGCCUCCCACGAGGCCAAGACCCAAAAUACUGGCUACUUAAGAAGCACAGGGAACUACACUGAAUUACAGUGUGCUCCAUCUUCCUUGAAUUCCAAACACUACUGCCAAAUCCAUCCUCUGAAUAAAAGAUGGGGGAGCCCAAGAGAUGA
Molecule: long non-coding RNA, 2882 nt
Organism: Orcinus orca (killer whale)
Lineage: Eukaryota; Metazoa; Chordata; Mammalia; Artiodactyla; Delphinidae
Exons: 2
Source: RefSeq, a predicted model, not a curated record